GGGAAAGUUUUCCAUUGGUAAGGUUAUGAGUUUGCUAUACUUUGUGUUUUAACACCUGGGUGUUCGAUUCACCUCUUUCCCG
This 82-nucleotide transfer RNA is filed under the name Clonostachys compactiuscula. RNAcentral's name for it is "tRNA-Ser". Lineage: Eukaryota; Fungi; Ascomycota; Sordariomycetes; Hypocreales; Bionectriaceae. The record is from RNAcentral.